ACGUAGGUGGCGAGCGUUGUCCGGAAUUAUUGGGCGUAAAGAGCAUGUAGGCGGUUUUUUAAGUCUGGAGUGAAAAUGCAGGGCUCAACCCCGUAUGGCUCUGGAUACUGGAAGACUUGAGUGCAGGAGAGGAAAGGGGAAUUCCCAGUGUAGCGGUGAAAUGCGUAGAUAUUGGGAGGAACACCAGUGGCGAAGGCGCCUUUCUGGACUGUGUCUGACGCUGAGAUGCGAAAGCCAGGGUAGCGAACGG
RNAcentral lists this ribosomal RNA (250 nucleotides) under uncultured bacterium. RNAcentral describes it as "partial 16S ribosomal RNA". It matches the Rfam family "Bacterial small subunit ribosomal RNA", at positions 525 to 775 of the family's 1533-position model. The record is from RNAcentral.